UUCACAGUCCCAGAGCAUAAAGUCCUGUCUUUUCCACCGACAGCACAGGCCCUGGGAACAGUCUUCUCCUGACCACCUUGCCGGUGUGCCUCAAUGCUGUAUUAGAGGGACCACAUUAGGGCUGAGAGGAUAAUUCAUUCUCCAUGCCCAUUCAGCCUUUGGGUUCU
Molecule: small RNA, 167 nt
Filed under: Chrysemys picta bellii (western painted turtle)
Lineage: Eukaryota; Metazoa; Chordata; Testudines; Emydidae
Description: TUC338 (ENSCPBG00000021448.1)
Source: RNAcentral